This 208-nucleotide long non-coding RNA is filed under the name Lathyrus oleraceus (garden pea). Its description in RNAcentral is "Pisum sativum (pea) long non-coding RNA (PSAT_LNC028203)". Lineage: Eukaryota; Viridiplantae; Streptophyta; Magnoliopsida; Fabales; Fabaceae. The record is from RNAcentral.
GUUUGUUCCAAGGUCGAGAUUUGUGAGAUAUUUGAUCGAACUUUAGUAUGGUCGAAUGAUAGUUUCUUGGUUCGACAAUCCGACAUGAGCAUUAGACCGUCGAAGUCUGUUCACAUGUUGUAGUCGAAGUAUGCUAGGAUUGUUAGCAUGUCGAAUUAUGCCUGUUUGUUAUGUCCAAUUGUUUAAGUUAGUUUGUUCUCUAAGUUAG